GCUCAGAAGGAGGGGGGUGUCCUGUGGAUCGGGCUCAUUUAUGGUCCUAACAUGGCUCCCUCUAGAAGAUGGCUUCCCUUAUGUUAACCGUGGGCUAUAUAUUUCUCUUCGCUUUCAGGCGACCGACGCUAACACGUGCAGGGGCUGGGGGGGCGGCCGGGAGCUCCUCUGAGCGCCGGUUCUGUCGCUCCCUGUCUGUCCCGUGAGCUGUGGGCGGGGAGGAUGCUGAGUUGGCUGUAGCUGGGAUGGGACCGUCCGCAUUCAGGGCAGGGGCGCAAAAUGAGCCCCAGGCGGCGGCGGGCUGGCGCAGCGGGGGCGCGGGGUGCGGAGCCCAGCUGACCAUUCGGGCAGCACGUGAGGGCGGCCAACAGUAAUCAGGCAGCUUCUGAGAUAACAGCAGGAGGACCAGGCCCGCGGAUAAUCAAGGAGCUUGCUGACAGCCCUCCGCCUGACUAAGCAUCUCACAGGAGCGCCGAGAAGCUACAGUGACCGAUCUAAGCUUCACAUGUCAUAAGAAAUAUGAAAGACAAUUGCCCCUGCACAGAGGACUCUGAACUUCAGCCCCCAAGGCCACAUUCCCCCUCCCUGUCUGAUUCUCACAGUGUGGUUUGGAAAAAUGCUUAGAACUGCAUGUAGGCAAACUAAUCUGCAACCAGUAGAAAGAAUAACUCGUUAGCAGAAAAUUUAUGUCCUCUGCCCAAACUGUUCCUUCUGUCCCAGAUAAAGAAGGAACUGAGGUUUUCUCAGAUUCCUCAGGAAUGUUGCAUUCAGCAGAUCCGCUGUGGAGAGGCGCCCGACGUUCUGCCGUCAUCCAUCACCUGACACUCCUGACACUCGCCCCCCCGUCCCCCCCCAUCUGGCUUAUAUAAGUCGUUUCCAAAUCACAUCCCUUUAAGAUGGGUUUUUUAGGACGAUAGUCCACCAUCUUCUGAUAUGCUAGCUUAUCGCUUAUUAAAGUUUUUUCUCUA
Equus caballus (horse) is the source of this 968-nucleotide long non-coding RNA. RefSeq lists it as uncharacterized. Lineage: Eukaryota; Metazoa; Chordata; Mammalia; Perissodactyla; Equidae. The record is from RefSeq and is a predicted model, not a curated record.